Molecule: long non-coding RNA, 2290 nt
Organism: Pezoporus occidentalis (night parrot)
Lineage: Eukaryota; Metazoa; Chordata; Aves; Psittaciformes; Psittacidae
Exons: 2
Source: RefSeq, a predicted model, not a curated record
GUGGGGCAAAGUCCUGGUGCCUGGAAGGUUCUGUAAGAUGUCUCUAGCAGCUGUGUCCUUUCUGAAAGCAGCAGCUUCUCUGGACCUGCUGUCUGACUCUUCCAUUAAGCCUGUCAUAUGCUUGAUCUAGAAGCUUACUUGCACCCUUCAUCUGUCUCAGGACCAUUCAGAUCUCUGUGACAGAACUAGAGUGGUCUGACUCAAAGUCCCUGUUCAGACUGGCAUGCACUAAAAUAGGCUGAAUUGCUUUUAGUUUUGUAUCUGACACUCUAGCCCUGUCCUUACAUGUUCCUCUUUUAUUUCACAGAGAGACGAUUAAUAUGAAGCAGCACAGAGUACCUCAGGUAGACUUUUGUAAGUUAUUUUUGUUACUCUCUCUUUUUUUAGGUGAAAGUCUGGAGCAUGGAUUAUCAUGGCCUUGCUGUAUAGAUGUCAAUGAACAAUCUGAGCUGAUUACAGAUAUUUCAGAUGCUCUUAUUAAUCAGAAGUGAUGCAAGUUUGAAAGACAUGCUAAAUAUAUAACCAUCUGUCAAGAUGCUUAUAUUUUUAGCUCACUGGUUAUGAAAUUUUCACAUCUUCUACCUUUUGUCAAUUUUGAUAAAAGCAAACUAAGUUGAGUUUGGGGAAACGCCAGGUUUCAGACCCCCUCUCCACUUUCUUGCUGCUUGCUAACGGACUCAAUUUUAACUUUGUUGGCAAGCAAUAUCUCUACACAAAUGCAGCAUAUGUGUAAGUUGUCAUUCAGAGAAUAAUGUUUGCUAUUUGCUAGGAUAUGGAGCAUGCAGUUUGGUAGACCACCCUGAAAUCACUCUCAAAACCUAAGGGAAAAGUAAAGAGAAAUUGCUAAUGAGCUGUUGUCUGUAACAGAAUGAAUUUUUCAGGAACUAAUUACUAGAUUUAGAGAAAAAGACUCUAAAAUAAAUAUAUAUGACAAUAUGUCUUAAUAUUGCAACAUCUGGUUCUUGUCAGUCUUUCAGAGAAGUACUGCUCACUGACAGCAUAACUUUCACAGCUAGAGAAGGGGAGUAAUUUUUAGGCAGAUCUCAUCUUCUAAUAUUUUUCGAAAUAGGAGUUUCUACUUGAGUUAAACAUUUCCUCCUAUACUUACAUAGCCGAGAACAUAUUAAAUACAAAUGCAGCUGCUGGGAUAUGCUGCAGUUCUCAAUUUCUAUGGUUUAUUUAAUCAAGAAUGUGAAUUUAUUACUUCCUUACUGAUAAAAUUAUGUUUGUUGCAAUGUCAGACUUUGCGGUAUGAACAAAGUCCUGCUGAUGUAACCCCCUCACUGGAAGACCUGCAGCAGCUUAUUAAUCUGGCUGGACCCCUCCAGAGAAAAUCACUGAAAGAGCAGAGUGACUGGAGUACAGCAAAGCAUGAGGAGAAUAAUUGUCCUGAUUUCUCCUGGGAUAGAGUUGAUUUUCUACCUAGUAGCUUACACAGUGCCGCAUUUUGGAUUUAGGAUGAGAAUAAUGUUGAUAACACAGGGAUGUUUUGGUUUAGUUUUUGUUUUGUCUUUGUUUUUGUUUUAGUUGUUGCUAAGCAGUGUUUACAUGAAGUCAAGGACUUCUUCAGCUUCUCACACGACCCCACCAGCAAAUAGGCUGGGGAGCACAAGAAGUUGGAGGGGACACAGCCAGGACAGCUGACCCAACUGACCAAAGGGAUACCCCAUACCACUGUGUAUCAUAACCAGUAUAUAAACUGGGGGGAAAGCUGGCCAGGGGCUGCUGCUUGGGAACUGGCUGGGCAUCAGUCAGUGGUUGGACAGCAACUGCACUGUGCAUCAUCUGUCUUGUAUAUUCUGAUUCUUUUAUUAUUUCUUUUCCUCCUUUUCUGUCUUAUUACACUGUCUUUAUCUCAACUCAUAGUUUUUACUUUUUUUUUUUUUUCCUUCGUGGUUCACUUACCCAUCCCACUGGAAUGGGGGGGAUGAGCAAAUGGCUAUGUGGUGUUUAGCUGCCUGCCAUAUUAAACCAUGAUAACAGUUUACCUUCAGUUCCUACUCUGACUUUUCCAUCUUUGUGGGCUUAAGUGAAUAACUUCAUAGGUCUUAAUUCUCUGUUUCAUAAAAAGUCCAAGAUAAUACUGCAUUUCCUAAACCAUAGGCAAACAUGUAUGAAUAUAUUUCUCCAAAUUACAGGGGAGUUGCAAGAAUUAAUUACUUAAUGUUUGCAAAGUGCUUUGAAGGCAGAAAGCACUCUAUAAAUGCUAAUUAUUAAAUCAAAGGUUUAUCUGACUUUAUUACUAAACCACUAAUAAAAUAAGUUACAUAGCUAUUGCAAGUUGGAAAAA